GAGACGAGUCUCGCUCUGUCGCCGGGCUGGAGUGCAGUGGCGUGAUCUUGGCUCACUGCAACCUCCGCCUCCUGGGUUCAAGCGAUUGUCCUGCCUCAGCCUCCUGAGUAGCUGGCACUACAGGCGCAUGCCACCACACCCAGUUAAUUUUUUUAGUAGAGAUGAGAUUUCACCAUGUUGGCCAGGAUGGUCUCAAUCUCUUGACCUUGUCAUCUGCCUGUCUUGGCCUUCCAAAGUUCCGGGAUUACAGGCGUGAGCCACCGCGCCCAGCCCAAAUUUGGUUUUUCUAACUGAGUUCACCUGCCCUCAAUUUUGUUAUACAAGGAAGCAGUAUGGCUUAGUGUUUAAAAAAUGUCGGCUCUGUGGUUAUUUUCAAAUAUUUGCUCCUUUGCUUAUAAUGAUAAUGAGGCAUAAUGAUAUGCCUCAGUUUCUUCAUGUAAAAAAAUCACAUUAGCAAUUAUACCCACAUGAUAGGCUUAUAAGAAUUAACUGAGAAAAUAAAUUUAAAAGUCAUAAGCACAAUGCUUAGGAAAUGUAAGUCCUGGAUGAGUGUUGGCCAUUGUUAACUUUGUUUUAUUUUACACAUCUUUCUUCUCUAUCUUUUGCAAAUUGCUUUUCAUUCUUCACACAUGAUUCCUGGCUAGAUACAGUGGCUCAAACCUGUAAUCCCAGCACUUUGGGAGGCUGAGACUGGAGGAUCGCAUGAGCCCAGGAGUUCAAGACCAGUCUGGGCAACAAAUUUUUCCAGAGAUCUACUUGAUAGAGGGAAAGGAGAAAGGAAGAUGUCAUUGAACCAAGAGAAAAUUGUCUUUCUCCAUACCUUGGAAUAUUAUUUGGCAAUAAUGAAGGAAUAUUAUUUGGCAAUAAUGAAGGAAUGAAGGACUGAUAUAUGAUACAGCACAGAUGGACUUUGGAAGCAUACUAAGAGAAAGAAGCUAGUCUCGAAGAACACAUUGUAUGAUUCCAUUCCUAUGAAAUGUCCAGAAUAGCAAAGCUAUAAAGAUACAAAGUAGAUUAGUAGUCACCUUUGGCCAGUGAGGUUGGGGAGAAAUGGAGAGCGAUUGCUAAUGAUUACAAACUUUCCUUUUAGCGUAAUAGAAAUGUUCUAAAAGUGAUGAUUGUACAAUGUUGUAAAUAUAUUAAAAACCAUUGGCUUGUGUACUUCAAGUAGGUGUAUUGUAUUGCCAUAUCUCAAUAAAUUAUAUCUCAAUAAAGCCAUUUUAUUUAUAUAAA
Molecule: long non-coding RNA, 1233 nt
Filed under: Homo sapiens (human)
Lineage: Eukaryota; Metazoa; Chordata; Mammalia; Primates; Hominidae
Description: HSALNT0113300
Source: RNAcentral